This 1531-nucleotide long non-coding RNA is filed under the name Piliocolobus tephrosceles (Ugandan red Colobus). Its description in RNAcentral is "lncRNA (ENSPTEG00000015326.1)". The record is from RNAcentral. Lineage: Eukaryota; Metazoa; Chordata; Mammalia; Primates; Cercopithecidae.
GGUAAGAAAGCCCAGGAGAGCCCACCAGAGGAGCUGGGGGUGGGUUCCUGCCUGCAGGGGGUCUGGGACACCCCAUUCCCGCAGACGAGGACCCAUGUUUUGGGGAGGAAGCUGUCAGAGUCACCAGUGAGCUGUUCAGAGCUGGAGCCACUGAGCAGGAGGAGGGGGCACCCAGAAGGGGCCCUGAAGUCAAGGGCAUCGUCCAACCUUUCUACCUCCCCAGCUGAAGACAGGCUGGAGGACAAUUCUCCAGAGUUUCAUAACAAAGAAGAGAAAAAAGAAAUCAAAAAGACCUGGAGGAUAGGGAGUGUGACCACUGUAUGUCAGCCACUGGGGGACAGGCUUCAGCUUACAACCACCUUCCAAAUUCCACCCUCUCACCUUGGCAGAAGCUGGCCAGGAAUUGGGGCCAAUGGAUGGGUGGGGUCUGCACAGGACACCGUAUUCAGGUCCCCAUGACGGCCUCACACAAAGGUGGUGGCCCUGCAGUUCCAGACGAUUCUCCACAGAGGCAUCAGGUCUCGGUCCUGGCCACCUCCUCCUGCAGGGCCUCAGCUGUUUCCUGGGACUCACGUGGUCCUUCCUCACAUGCAGCUCUGGAUUCAGGGCAGACUCUCUGAAGACCUUGUGCAACAGCAGAGUCCAGCAGAGAAGACAAGAAAAGCCCAGCUGCAAAGAUGAAAAAAUGGCAGGUGCUAGUUCUGGCAAAGCCAGUCACCUGCCCAGGGCAGAGAGUAGCCUGAAGCUGAUGCUACGGAGAGACUGGGGCCUUCAGUCCAACAGCCUGCAAGCAAUAGAAUUCUGCCAGCAACACAGAAGCGAGCGUGGAAGCAGCUCCUCCCCUGAUGAGCCUGAGCCUUCAGAAGACAUGGCAGCCCUGAGCAGACACUUGCUGCAGCCGCGGAGAGCCCCUGGGGCAGAGGGCCCAGUGAAGCCUGCACUCCUGGGCCAAGGAGUAAGCAUUCCUGUGGUAUAACUGUGUGCUGGUGUGGGCCACAGUUUGGAGUCAUCUGUCAGGGGACGAUAAAGAACAAACACACGCCUCAGGUCCUACUGGGUAGAAGCUGUAGGGUCAGCACGGCAUGUAAUAUCUGUCAGGCCUCUGAGCCCAAGCCAAGCCAUAGCAUCCCCUGUGACUUGCAAAUAUACACCCAGAUGGCCUGAAGUAACUGAAGAAUCACAAAAGAAUUGUAAAUGCUCUGCCUCGCCUUAACUGAUGACAUUCCACCACAAAAGAUGUGUAAAUGACAUUCCACCACAAAAGAUAUGUAAAUGACUGGUCCUUGCCUUAAGCGAUCAUAGAUUCUUGUGAAAUUCCUUUUCCUGGCUCAUUCUGGCUCAAAAAGCUCCCCCACUGAGCACCUUGUGACCUCCACUCCGGCCCGCCAGAGAACAACCCCCCUUUGACUGUAAUUUUCCUUUACCUACCCAAAUGCUAUAAAACAGCCCCACCCUUAUCUCUCUUUGCUGACUGUCUUUUGGGACUCAACCCACUUGCACGCAGGUGAAAUAAACAACCAUGUUGCUCACA